RNAcentral lists this ribosomal RNA (131 nucleotides) under uncultured bacterium. RNAcentral's name for it is "partial 16S ribosomal RNA". The record is from RNAcentral.
AUUACCGCGGCUGCUGGGCUGCUGCCUCCCGUAGGGCCUAUUACUGCGGCUGCUGGCUCCCGUAGGCUGCUGCCUCCCGUAGGCUGCUGCCUCCCGUAGGGCCUAUUACCGCGGCUGCUGCCUCCCGUAGG